Regulatory RNA element from Lachnoclostridium sp. An14, 162 nucleotides. It matches the Rfam family "c-di-AMP riboswitch aptamer (ydaO/yuaA leader)". Rfam says of the family: This family represents a conserved RNA structure found upstream of the ydaO and yuaA genes in Bacillus subtilis and related genes in other bacteria. The ydaO/yuaA element is thought to act as a genetic "off" switch for the ydaO and yuaA genes in its native state. It is believed that the element may be triggered during osmotic shock leading to activation of ydaO, a predicted amino acid transporter gene, and members of the yuaA-yubG operon which code for KtrA and KtrB K+ transporters. The record is from Rfam. Lineage: Bacteria; Bacillati; Bacillota; Clostridia; Lachnospirales; Lachnospiraceae.
AAACAGAUAACGCCGAGUGCCGCGGGCAAACCUGCGGCAGCGGGAGACCCACUUUUGGGGUGAAUUCACGGAGACGGCUCACAUGACACGGCCGCCCCUGUGAUAGGGAACCUUCUUUCCCGAACCCGUCAGCUAAUCUCGUAGGCGGAGAAGGAAAAAGCG